Long non-coding RNA from Corapipo altera (White-ruffed manakin), 345 nucleotides. RefSeq lists it as uncharacterized. The transcript has 2 exons. The record is from RefSeq and is a predicted model, not a curated record. NCBI's taxonomy places the organism in Eukaryota, Metazoa, Chordata, Aves, Passeriformes, Pipridae.
CCCAGGUGGAGGCAGGAGGGGCAGAGAGCCUGAGUCCCCCGUGCAAACCCCCAGCUGGGAGAAGAAGUUCGAUUUGCUGAGGCCGGGGGUGGCAAAGAGCUGGGACAGGAACCUGCACCAAACCUUUGACACACAAGACGUUUCCCUUUGGGGCCAAGGCAAACAAAGGAAGGAAGCGUCUGGGACUUUUAAAGCGACCCGGUGGAGACAGCACUGGGAAUGGGAUCAGCAAGGAGUUUUCAGUGGGAUGCCGCCUCUGGCAGCACAUCCUGCACCAUCUCAGCUGCUGAGGGACUUCAGCUUUUCCCAAAAUAACAUCCCCGAUUCCUAAUCCCUGUAAAAAAA